Molecule: long non-coding RNA, 481 nt
Filed under: Brassica napus (rape)
Lineage: Eukaryota; Viridiplantae; Streptophyta; Magnoliopsida; Brassicales; Brassicaceae
Description: long non-coding RNA (BNAP_LNC016005)
Source: RNAcentral
UUCAGAGCAGCCUUGGCUGAGUGAGGAAGAAGACUCUCUCUCAAUGCGGCUUCAAUGUGAGGUGGUUGAGGAGAAGCUGAUCAACCCACUCAGUCAUCCAACAAGUUGGUGUUGCCAUGAAGAGGUUGCAAUGGCCAAGAAAGAAGGGGCUGCAAGGACUACAUUCAAGAGACAUCAACCGGAGCUAUUCUAGGCUGUGUGUGUAUGAAGGCUAAUGUUCAAGGCGGUCUCUAAAGUGAGAUGGUUGAACAUGAAGCUGAAGGAUCCACAUAGUCUUCCAACAAGUUGAUGUGUCCGUAGAGGUUGCAAGCGUAUGCCGAGUGUGUGAGGGAUUCAAGUGGCUUUCCAAAUCAACCACUCCUCACCAAAACAAAAGGGAAGUAUCCUAAGCUCAAUUCAAUUCAAUUCAUUCAUUAUUUCAUUGUUUAAGCUUGAAAUGAUACUUAAAAUGAUUGCUUGAAUUGUGUGAUGUGUCUUGAUA